CGGGCAUAUUUACAUAAGACGAGAAGACCCUAUGGAGCUUUAGACACCAAGACAGCCCAUGUUAAAUACCCCGAAUAUAACAGUCCAAACUUAAUGGGCUCCUGUCCUAAUGUCUUCGGUUGGGGCGACCAUGAAGUAGCACACAACCCCCAUGCGGAAUAGGAGGACAACCCACUAUCUUCCCCCUCCUCCCACAUGCAAGAGUUACUACUCUAACUAACAGAAUCUCUGACCUUACAUGAUCCGGCUUCCGCCGAUCAACGGACCAAGUUACCCUAGGGAUAACAGCSCAAUCCCCUUUUAGAGCCCAUAUCGACRAGGGGGUUUACRACCUCGAUGUUGGAUCAGGACAUCCUAAUGGUGCAGCCGCUAUUAAGGGUUCGUUUGUUCAACGAUUAAAGUCCUACGUGAUCUGAGUUCAGACCGGAGGUCAUAGCUGUU
This 441-nucleotide ribosomal RNA is filed under the name Atropus aurochs (silvermouth trevally). RNAcentral's name for it is "partial large subunit ribosomal RNA". It matches the Rfam family "Bacterial large subunit ribosomal RNA", at positions 2076 to 2642 of the family's 2925-position model. The record is from RNAcentral. Lineage: Eukaryota; Metazoa; Chordata; Actinopteri; Carangiformes; Carangidae.